This 458-nucleotide ribosomal RNA is filed under the name uncultured bacterium. RNAcentral's name for it is "partial 16S ribosomal RNA". It matches the Rfam family "Bacterial small subunit ribosomal RNA", at positions 338 to 795 of the family's 1533-position model. The record is from RNAcentral.
CCUACGGGAGGCAGCAGUGGGGAAUAUUGCACAAUGGGGGAAACCCUGAUGCAGCGACGCCGCGUGAGUGAAGAAGUAUUUCGGUACGUAAAGCUCUAUCAGCAGGGAAGAAAAACCGGCCUUAGGGCCGCCAGACGGUACCUGACUAAGAAGCCCCGGCUAACUACGUGCCAGCAGCCGCGGUAAUACGUAGGGGGCAAGCGUUAUCCGGAUUUACUGGGUGUAAAGGGAGCGUAGACGGCAGCGCAAGUCUGGAGUGAAAUGCCGGGGCCCAACCCCGGAGCUGCAUUGGAAACUGUGAGGCUGGAGUGUCGGAGAGGCAGGCGGAAUUCCUAGUGUAGCGGUGAAAUGCGUAGAUAUUAGGAGGAACACCAGUGGCGAAGGCGGCCUGCUGGACGAUGACUGACGCUGAGGCUCGAAAGCGUGGGGAGCAAACAGGAUUAGAUACCCCUGUAGUC